This 338-nucleotide unclassified non-coding RNA is filed under the name soil metagenome. Its description in RNAcentral is "partial contains 5.8S ribosomal RNA, internal transcribed spacer 2, and large subunit ribosomal RNA". The stretch from base 2 to 121 matches the Rfam family "5.8S ribosomal RNA", at positions 35 to 154 of the family's 154-position model. The record is from RNAcentral.
GGAUGAAGAACGAAGCGAAAUGCGAUAAGUAGUGUGAAUUGCAGAAUUCAGUGAAUCAUCGAAUCUUUGAACGCACAUUGCGCCCCUUGGUAUUCCAUGGGGCAUGCCUGUUCGAGCGUCAUUUGUACCUUCAAGCUCUGCUUGGUGUUGGGUGUUUGUCUCGCCUCUGCGUGUAGACUCGCCUCAAAACAAUUGGCAGCCGGCGUAUUGAUUUCGGAGCGCAGUACAUCUCGCGCUUUGCACUCAUAACGACGACGUCCAAAAGUACAUUUUUACACUCUUGACCUCGGAUCAGGUAGGGAUACCCGCUGAACUUAAGCAUAUCAAUAAGCGGAGGA